RNAcentral lists this long non-coding RNA (3277 nucleotides) under Sus scrofa (pig). RNAcentral describes it as "lncRNA (ENSSSCG00065008319.1)". The record is from RNAcentral. Lineage: Eukaryota; Metazoa; Chordata; Mammalia; Artiodactyla; Suidae.
UAAGUGCUCAGUGCCACAUCGGAUUCACAGAGUACCCUUCCAAAAUAAGUAGUAGGUAUCAUUUAGUUAUAUCCUAAACCCUAAUCUCAAUUUACAUUUUUCCAAUUACUGCCACCAGUAAAAGGAAAUUUGGGCUAUAAAUGCCUAAUCCUGCCACCCAGGGCUUUGUUUCCAACUGUUUCAAGAAUUUCCAAAGACAUUUUGGAUAAUAAAGAAUCUGCAUGUUUUCAGAAACCAUUUCCUAAUGGAUCAAGGAUGAUCACACCAUUCAUAGAAAUCAUAUAAGAAGUCAUAAAAAGGAAAUACGUCCUUCCCUCUUUUUCAUAGAAAGUUCUCAGUAAUAAUUAGACCAGAGCCUCCUUUCGAUGGUCAAACUCGGGAAGAUGUUUGCAUUCUCCAGGGACGGUAACUUUACCUUCACAAAGCUGCUGCAAUACCAACCAGAAGUUUCAUCUGUGAUGAAAGUGUGGGUGUGGAACAGAGCUAAACCCUAGGUGAACAUACCUGGUAAACUCAAUAUUCUUAUCUAUUGUUUCACACUGAAUCAGAGAACAGCGCUAAGCUUAUAAACACUAAAUUUUUUUAGACGUGAUAAAGGUGAUGAGCUAUAAAAAAAUUGUGUUAUUUAUUCAAUCAAUAGGUAUCCACUAAAUGCUACACAAGAUUGACAUUGAUAAUAUUCAUUUAGAUCUUUCAGAAUAUACCAAGUAUUUCCUGAGUCUCUUCCUUGUUAUGAUAGAAGGUUCUUCUGGGCUUGGCCUAUCUGAGCCAGGGUGAAGGAGGGUAGCUUUGGGUUAGUUAAGAGAAAUGCCCAGUCACCUGCCCCUGGUCCUUCACUUUCAGUCCCUCACUGGUAUGGCCAUGUGAGCAUCAGAGUCCUUAGUGGUGUGGCAGAGGCCCAAGUCUGUUUGCCAUAAUCUUGAAGGGCAAUUGGGAGUUCCUAUCAAGAUACAAACAGAGACAUCCCAGGAGGUUCUGAAGCUGCCAGGGCCUCCUCCAUUGGAAGGGUACAGGGAGAAAUAGUAUCAGAAGGCCAUUUGUAGCUCUGAGGAAAUCCAAGAAUAAACAUUUUUUAGGAGCCAAUCAUUCAAAAAACAAAACGAAACAACAAGAAAAAACAACAAACAUGACUAAUGUUUAGAGCUUGGAUAUUUGGCUAUUUUUUUCAGGGAUGAAAAUUUGUAGAGAGAGAGAAAAAAAAAUCUCUUAUCCGCAGUGCCUUUUUUCAUUGCUGUCUUUACAUUAACACUGCUCUCUGCCCAGGUCUUUCACACCUACUCUGUACCCCUUACUCACUCACCCUGCUUCAGUGUUGAGGAUGCUCAUUUGGAGGAUGGCUAGAGCAGGAGAAGGGAGCUAGAUGCUCUGUGCUGCAGAUAUUCAACAUCUGAAGCUGCUUCUUAACACCUGUGUAUUAACGACAACCUUUCCCCUCCCUCAUGCUAUCCUUUUACAGAAGUUUCUUUGAUCUUUCCAGUGGCUCGAAAUGCUCUCCAUCCUGAUCAUUAUAGACUAAUUAUACAAGACACUUUCAGCCUUGAUUCUCUAAUCUUAUGGAAGGAUUGCAGCUGCCUGCCAGUUUCCAAAAUCUGUGUAAGUAGCCUGGCAAGGGAAACAGGAAGUGAAGUAAGAAGUGAGUUAGGGUCUUCAGCGUUCAGGCAGCCUAGGCACUUCUUGAUCUUUUUCUAGACAGUUUCUCACUCCUGAGAGCCUAUAGAUAGUGAAAUACUUAGGUAAUUACUAGGAUACAGAGAGGAUCUUUUUCUAGACAGUUUCUCACUCCUGAGAGCCUAUAGAUAGUGAAAUACUUAGGUAAUUACUAGGAUACAGAGAGGAUCCUUAUGGUAGAUACUUGUGUUUCAGUGUCUCGGUAUUUCACCUUCUUCUUUCUACAAACAAGACAUGCCAUUUCACUAAAUUUUCUUUUUGAGUCCACACAUCCACCCUCAGUCUAAGUAGUUUGCAUGGGUUUCCAUCUCCAGCCACAAAGAUAUAGUUUGUAGCCUAGAAUUGCCAUAUUGACUCAUCUAGGAAUAGGAUUAACAGAGGUCUAGUAAACAGAUUGAUUCUACUACUGUGGCUGCAGACAUUGAUGCAGGCAUGGACACAUGAUCAUUGAUUCCAUGAGAGUAGUUGGGAGAGUUACUAAAAAGAGACACCAUUAUUAUUUCUGCUGAAACUGAAUCUGUGAGGAGAAACUGGUAGUUGCUUGCAGGUUCUACUAUACUUUGAACCUAAGAGUGAUGACAACAUAGACGAAAGAAGAUCCCAGAGAUGGAGUCUGCUUAAAUCCAGGUGAUAUCCUAUGGUUCCUUGGAUCAAGCCAUUCCUAAAUUGAGACACUUGAGAAACUUGAACUUUUUAAUUAUGUAAGCCUAUGUGUGUGUGUGUGUGUGUGUGUGUGUGUGUGUGUGUGUGUGUGUAUACACAUAUAUAUAUCUUUGCUUGCUCAAGAGAAUUUUAGUUGAUUUAUUUAUCACUUGUAACCUAAAUUAUCCCAAUGCUAUAAAAUUAUCAUCCAAAGAACCCUUAUUUUAACUUUAAGUUUUUCAAUUUUUUUAAAAAAAUUUACGACCACACAGGAGUGUAUAUGGACAUUCCAGGGCCAGGGAUUGAAUCUUCGCUACAGUUGUGAUGUACAUUUCAGCUGUGGCAACACUGGGUCCUUUAACCCACUAGUCUUGGCUGGUGAUCAAACAAGCACCUCCACAGCAACCUGAACUGUUACAGUCAGAUUCUUAACCCAGUGUGCCAAGGUGGGAACUCCCAGUUCAAAGAAAUUUUAUGUGUUUAUUUUUUUCUAAUUGUGAGAAUGGCUCCUCAUGAUGUUAAAAUAAGAAUAGAACCUUUUUUUUUUUCUUUUUUUUUUUUUUUUUUUUUUUUUUUUUUUAGGGCCACACCUGUGAGACCCUAAAAAGGAAAAAAAAAAAUUAUUAAGACAGAUUAGCAUAAGAAAAGCAUCAAAUUUACUUAACUUUUGUGUGACUUGGGAGCCCUCAUAAGGAAAUGAAGUGUCAAAUUUAAAUACUUUUAUACCAGUGUGGGAAAGUAACUAAAAUAUACAGGGAGGCUAAAGGAAGAUAAGAAUAAUUUUUAACAAGGUCUGUUUGGACAGAAUUCUCUCAGCUUUGAUUCUCUGUCAAAGUAUGUUUCUUGAUCCUAAUCCAGGGAGGGCAUUUCUCAAUGGAAUUUUUAUUCCUUUUUCAAGAAUAAAAGGGGAGGUCCUUUGAAGAGAUAAACAAAAUUAACAAACUUCUGGCUAGAGCAACCAAGAAAA